GAUGAACGCUGGCGGCGUGCCUAAUACAUGCAAGUCGAGCGAACAGACGAGGAGCUUGCUCCUCUGACGUUAGCGGCGGACGGGUGAGUAACACGUGGAUAACCUACCUAUAAGACUGGGAUAACUUCGGGAAACCGGAGCUAAUACCGGAUAAUAUAUUGAACCGCACGGUUCAAUAGUGAAAGACGGUUUUGCUGUCACUUAUAGAUGGAUCCGCGCCGCAUUAGCUAGUUGGUAAGGUAACGGCUUACCAAGGCAACGAUGCGUAGCCGACCUGAGAGGGUGAUCGGCCACACUGGAACUGAGACACGGUCCAGACCCCUACGGGAGGCAGCAGUAGGGAAUCUUCCGCAAUGGGCGAAAGCCUGACGGAGCAACGCCGCGUGAGUGAUGAAGGUCUUCGGAUCGUAAAACUCUGUUAUUAGGGAAGAACAAAUGUGUAAGUAACUAUGCACGUCUUGACGGUACCUAAUCAGAAAGCCACGGCUAACUACGUG
This 497-nucleotide ribosomal RNA is filed under the name uncultured bacterium. RNAcentral describes it as "partial 16S ribosomal RNA". It matches the Rfam family "Bacterial small subunit ribosomal RNA", at positions 28 to 507 of the family's 1533-position model. The record is from RNAcentral.